AUGGUGGCUGCUGUGGCGCUACCCCCACCUCGACUAGGGCAGCCUGCACCACCUGCAGCAGCGGAAGAUAGGAGGGGACUGGAAGCGGCUCGAGUGGCUGAUUGCCGCCCUGACCCAGGACGCGGCGAUGAACGAGUGGCAGCACUACGCAACUACCGCCGGGCCCGGGGACUUUGUUUCAAAUGUGGGGAACGUUGGGGUCAAGGCCACCAGUGUGCAGCCACAGUCCAAUUGCAUGUAGUGGAAGAACUGCUCGAGUUACUGCAAGCUGAAGUUCAGGACAUACAAGAUGCAGAACCCGACUCGGACGAAGAGGUGCUAAUGUCAAUCUCCAAAAUAGCUACUACAGGACUGACCACAGCAUGCACGGUGCGUUUGCUCGGCAGGAUAGAUGGGCAGGCAGUCCUAAUCCUUGUUGACUCGGGUAGCUCGCACAGCUUCAUCUGUGAAGAAGUGGCAGCUAAUUUGGCAGAUCGAUACAUCCCCGUCUGUACGUGGGUGACACAAGGACACGAGUUUACCACGGAUCAGUCUAUGGCGGUCACAAACUACGUGGCCAACGGCGGGUGCCUCGCGGAGUUCCGGGCGGCCAUGAUCAAGUGCGACCCCAUCUGGGAUCACGAUGCCGCCAAGCGCCGCGUCGCGUGCAUCGGCGCCACCAAGGCGCUGCGAGAGUGCUUCGGCCGCAACCCCGACUACUUCGAGCACCACUACAUCAAGCGCCUGGACAGCGGCCUCGACCAGGACGUUGGCUGGCAGGAGGACGCCGGCAAGUUCAGGUGGUGGACCGGCGUGAGGAGAAGCUAG
This 807-nucleotide ribosomal RNA is filed under the name Triticum aestivum (bread wheat). RNAcentral's name for it is "partial small subunit ribosomal RNA". The record is from RNAcentral. Lineage: Eukaryota; Viridiplantae; Streptophyta; Magnoliopsida; Poales; Poaceae.